RNAcentral lists this transfer RNA (71 nucleotides) under Phrynosoma platyrhinos (Desert horned lizard). Its description in RNAcentral is "tRNA-OTHER". The record is from RNAcentral. Lineage: Eukaryota; Metazoa; Chordata; Lepidosauria; Squamata; Phrynosomatidae.
GCCAGCGUGGUGUAGUGGUUUGAAUGUUGGACUACAACCCUGGAGACCAGGGUUCUAUUCCCAGUUUGGCC